RNAcentral lists this ribosomal RNA (700 nucleotides) under uncultured bacterium. RNAcentral's name for it is "bacterial SSU rRNA". It matches the Rfam family "Bacterial small subunit ribosomal RNA", at positions 8 to 754 of the family's 1533-position model. The record is from RNAcentral.
AGAGUUUGAUCAUGGCUCAGAACGAACGCUGGCGGCAGGCCUAACACAUGCAAGUCGAGCGAGGUAGCAAUACCUAGCGGCGGACGGGUGAGUAACGCGUGGGAACGUGCCCCUUGGUACGGAAUAGCCCCGGGAAACUGGGAGUAAUACCGUAUGAGCUCUACGGAGGAAAGAUUUAUCGCCAAGGGAUCGGCCCGCGUUGGAUUAGGUAGUUGGUAGGGUAAUGGCCUACCAAGCCGACGAUCCAUAGCUGGUUUGAGAGGAUGAUCAGCCACACUGGGACUGAGACACGGCCCAGACUCCUACGGGAGGCAGCAGUGGGGAAUCUUAGACAAUGGGCGCAAGCCUGAUCUAGCCAUGCCGCGUGAGCGAUGAAGGCCUUAGGGUUGUAAAGCUCUUUCAGCGAGGAAGAUAAUGACUGUACUCGCAGAAGAAGCCCCGGCUAACUCCGUGCCAGCAGCCGCGGUAAUACGGAGGGGGCUAGCGUUGUUCGGAAUUACUGGGCGUAAAGCGCACGUAGGCGGACUGGAAAGUCAGGGGUGAAAUCCCGGGGCUCAACCCCGGAACUGCCUUUGAAACUCCCAGUCUUGAGGUCGAGAGAGGUGAGUGGAAUUCCGAGUGUAGAGGUGAAAUUCGUAGAUAUUCGGAGGAACACCAGUGGCGAAGGCGGCUCACUGGCUCGAUACUGACGCUGAGGUGC